Molecule: long non-coding RNA, 1728 nt
Organism: Diceros bicornis minor
Lineage: Eukaryota; Metazoa; Chordata; Mammalia; Perissodactyla; Rhinocerotidae
Exons: 3
Source: RefSeq, a predicted model, not a curated record
CCCUGGCAGCGCGGGGCGAACAGCUGCAGGAAGUCCCGGCGGCAGUAGGGGCGGCCCUCACGCUCGUGAAAACCUAGGGGCGGGAACCGAGUGGGCAGAAAGAAAAGGGUGCGAGGCCCUACCGGGGACCUACAAGAUCUGAGUCUGUGGGGCCAGAGGAGCGGCAGUCAGAGCGAGCAGGCUCCCCGCAACUGACGCAGCAGAAAUGCUCCGGGUGCCAGUGGGUGCCCAAGGCAGUAACCAUCUUCUGCGGGGAAUGAAAGGGGACACUCAGGGUGGCCCUCCAUCGCUUCUUCCCUCCCUCUCCCGCCCUGAACCUAGAGACCACAUCGUGGGGAGAAGCGCUCAAAGUAGCACUCGGGGCAGAAGGGGCCUCCAUCCUUCUCGAAGAAGCUGCUGCCUCCCAGGGCCAUGGAACAGCCACCGCAAACGAAGUGCUCAGGGUGCCAAGCACGGCCCAGCGCUGUCACUACCUGCGAGUUGGGGUUGAGGCCCCAGGUCAGAGUGGCCCUCGAGCUGCCAUGUUUAGGUGGUGCAUUUCAAGUCUUUUGUUGUUGUUGUUCUUUUUACCUUUUGACUCCUUUCAUCCAUUUCUCCCACCUCCCUACCCAAGUCUUAUCUCUGAGACAUCAGGAUGAAGAAUCUAAUAUUUAAGUCAGUCUGUAAGUGCCCAGGGCCCACAAUACUUUUAGGAGCCCAAGAAAAUGUAAUUUCUUUUAAAAUCAGAAGAAAAAAAUGAGCUAGAAGAAAAUGACUUAAUACAUAAUAAUAUAUUCAUCCUUACACCCACCCAGUCAUAAUACACAAUUUUUAGUAUUUUUUUUCUAAUGGAGAAAGGGAUCCACGAAGGCAAAAGUGCCUAGAGCCUACAAAAGUCAUAAUGCCACCCUGCUCUGAUGAGGUUGGAAAUUCUGGGAUGGGAGCAGGGCACUGGAUCUAGCAGGAGGAUCUAGGUCAACCACUGGGCACAGUUGUCAAUAACAUCUGCUCAGUCAAUAAGCCAAGAACCAGAGCUCCCAGAUCAGACCCUGGUGGGGGAGAAACGGUCUUUGGGGGUGCCUGAGAGAUGGUAGGUGUGCCAGUGAGGCUUCUGUGAAGAUUAAAUGAGAUGGGGGUUUGUAAAGGAGCUGGCACACUGCCUGCACACAGUAGGACCACAAUAAAUGGGAACUGGGUUGGAAUUCUCACGCUGCCACUUACCUGCUGUGUAACUCAGAGCUUCAGUUUCCUCAUCCAUAAAAUAUAAAUAACAGUAAUAACUUCUUCCCAGAGUUAUUUUUAAAAGGGAACAGCACAAAGACUACCUCUCAGUAAAGAUGGGUCCAUGAGUCUCUACCUCUCUACUCGCAGGGCUCCACUUACUUGCCCAGCAAUGGGUUUAUUGCAGGAGCCACACAGGCCCUUGGCCUGGGUGGGAACACCACGGCGGCUGAGGUCGGACUGCAGCAGCCCCAGCAUGGUGUCUAGGCUGCCCUUGCUAGUUGGCCCUGGUGGGGACGGGGAGCCCUCAUUCAUGGAGCUCGGCACUGUUGGCUGGGCUGGCCCAGAGGCUGGAAGCUGCAGCAGGGAGGACAUGAGAGUUGAAUCAGCAAGGCAGCAGAUGUGGAAGGGUCUAAAAUCCACACAGGCCCACCCUGCUGCCUGACUCACGUGGUUCUGGACGCGGAAGUCAGAGAGUGAGGCCAUCAGUCUAUCCAGCUCCAGGGUGGCCGAGGUGGCCGAAGGCUU